Molecule: long non-coding RNA, 806 nt
Organism: Solanum tuberosum (potato)
Lineage: Eukaryota; Viridiplantae; Streptophyta; Magnoliopsida; Solanales; Solanaceae
Exons: 2
Source: RefSeq, a predicted model, not a curated record
CGAGAUACGAAAUUUAUGAAGUUAUGUCUGUAGAGUGCAAAAAUGGGGUUUAUCUUUUUAAAAAUAGGAAUGCCACUUUUCUCCUCUAAACAUGCAAGAUGAUGGAUGAUUUCUUUUGUAGCUGUUGGACUAACUUGAAAAUAUUGAUAAGACGUGUGCUUUUAGAAUUUACGAUACUCCAUAUGUAGCACAUGUUAGUUCAUUUAGAAAAUGCUCCUGAAGAAAUUUUUGUUUUCUUAAGAUAAUCACAAUUUUUUAUAUUAGUUUUCUAUUCAAUCUUAUUCAUUGAAGACGUUUUUAGUGCUAGAAAUUAUUGUCAUGCAUUGUGAUUGAAUCACUUAACUUUCCUUCACAAAGUGCAAUUUGGCAAGGAUGACUGCAAAUUUGCGAAAUUGCUAGAUCAAAAGCAAGUAAGGUAAUUUAUAUGCUUCAAUUGGCUCAUUUAGUACUUAGGCUAAAUAGUAUCCAUCUGUGUCAUAAAGAUGAAUAUGAAGCAAAUUGGAGAAUUCAUUGGAUUCAAAAGAGAAUGUACAAUGGCAGAGAGUGACAAGGUGAAGUAAAUAAUGGGAUUGACUAGUUGAGGUCAUUUUUGUUGCCCAAUUGGUGGGAGGAGUUACAUCACCUUUUGGGAAAAUCAUGUCUGCUUCAUUAAUAGCUAUAUGGUCCCUAAAUUUGUCAGGAAACCAUAUUUUUCAAACAGAUUUAUUCCUUGAUUUUUCUACGCAAAUAGCUGGUCGGAUUCACUAUUUACUUAUUCUAACUAGAAUAUAAACGGUUAUACAUAUAUGUUACACAAUUACCUACUA